Molecule: ribosomal RNA, 498 nt
Filed under: uncultured bacterium
Lineage: Bacteria
Description: partial 16S ribosomal RNA
Rfam family: Bacterial small subunit ribosomal RNA
Source: RNAcentral
AUUGAGCGCUGGCGGCAUGCCUUACACAUGCAAGUCGAACGGUAACAGGUCUUCGGAUGCUGACGAGUGGCGAACGGGUGAGUAAUACAUCGGAACGUGCCUAGUAGUGGGGGAUAACUACUCGAAAGAGUGGCUAAUACCGCAUGAGAUCUACGGAUGAAAGCAGGGGAUCGCAAGACCUUGUGCUACUAGAGCGGCCGAUGGCAGCUUAGGUAGUUGGUGGGAUAAAAGCUUACCAAGCCGACGAUCUGUAGCUGGUCUGACAGGACGAUCAGCCACAUUGGGACUGAGACACGGCCCAGACUCCUACGGGGGGCAGCAGUGGGGAAGUUUGGACAAUGGGCGCAAGCCUGAUCCAGCAAUGCCGCGUGCAGGAUGAAGGCCUUCGGGUUGUAAACUGCUUUUGUACGGAACGAAAAGCCCCGGGUUAAUACCCUGGGGUCAUGACGGUACCGUAAGAAUAAGCACCGGCUAACUACGUGCCAGCCGCCGCCGUAA